CAGCAGCCGCGGUAAUACGAAGGGGGCUAGCGUUGCUCGGAAUGACUGGGCGUAAAGGGCGCGUAGGCGGCGAUCAAAGUCGGGCGUGAAAUUCCUGGGCUCAACCUGGGGGCUGCGUUUGAUACUUGAUUGCUAGAGUGGGGAAGAGGGUCGUGGAAUUCCCAGUGUAGAGGUGAAAUUCGUAGAUAUUGGGAAGAACACCGGUGUCGAAGGCGGCGACCUGGUCCUUGACUGACGCUGAGGCGCGAAAGCGUGGGGAGCAAACAGGAUUAGAUACCCCCGUAGUCCCUGUCUCUUAUAC
Molecule: ribosomal RNA, 301 nt
Filed under: uncultured bacterium
Lineage: Bacteria
Description: partial 16S ribosomal RNA
Rfam family: Bacterial small subunit ribosomal RNA
Source: RNAcentral